UUGUGGGAUGAAAGUGUCGAGGGCAGUUGAAGGGUUGUAGCGGCUGUCUGGGGUCUAUUGGCAUACCACGGCAGUACAAACAUAUUAAGUCGCUUCCAUCAUACAGACCAAGCACAGCAUUGUGAGAAAGACCAAUUCUUCAAGCCUGCUGCUUACAGGCCUCUGCUGGGUGGAGCAGACGCUAAAAGACAGCCAUUGGCUGUGGCUCCCUAAGCUGCACUGGCAGCAGGCCGAGCAGCAGCUGAUGACAAAGAGCGAGGAGGGCUGACCUCAGAGGCAUCUCACAUCCUUCCUCUCACACCUACGUGCACGCAGCAGCACAGCACAUGAGCUCAGUGGCGGUUUGCAGCACAUGAUGAGAAGCGGGAAGGCACUUAGCAGGGCGGAUGGUGACAAGCAAGUAGGGCAGGGUGCAAACGCCAAGCGCAAGAAAACGAAAUGACAUUGUGAACGAGGCAGAGCGCAACAGGAAGUACGAGAGGAGAUCUGGGGAAACCGUGAUGAAAUUACACGUCGUCCCAAGUAUGAAUAACCCAGGAAACCUGAGAAAACGCUGAACUUAAACCUCGUGACUCCCACUGAGUACAUGUGAAAAGCUGGAGCAUGCCUGAGACAGGAGUCAGAACUGAACACGCACUCAUCUCUGUUUUUAAGUUGUGACACUCUGGUGUUUGUGCGCCGCGUUUGCGGUGAAGCAUGGAGUGGGACGCUGCCAAAAUAUUGGAAACCAAUAUGCUGAGGAAGAGGAAUCUCGUCUGGAGCAGACAGUCAGUUAAUCCCUUCGCUUGCAGACAGAGGGGGAGGAGAUGAGCGGCAGCAACAUGCUGGGGCUUUGACGCCGCUAAUCAAACAAAGCAACAACUGCGAUGUCUUCGAGAACUGACUUUUGCAAGUCCAUUUGUUAGAGAUAUAAUACAAUUAAAGUUAUUAUUUGUGUGAAAUUAGA
Poecilia latipinna (sailfin molly) is the source of this 946-nucleotide long non-coding RNA. RefSeq lists it as uncharacterized. The transcript is spliced from 2 exons. The record is from RefSeq and is a predicted model, not a curated record. Lineage: Eukaryota; Metazoa; Chordata; Actinopteri; Cyprinodontiformes; Poeciliidae.